AAUUUUGUGCAGUGGCAGUAUUGUAGCCAAUGGGGUUUAUCCAAAUUGUGUUUAUUGCUAAUUGAAAACUUUUCCCAAUACUCUGCCAUGACUACUUGCAAUAUAAUCUGCAUUUGACAGUCUCUACAGAGA
Molecule: small nuclear RNA, 132 nt
Filed under: Nannospalax galili (Upper Galilee mountains blind mole rat)
Lineage: Eukaryota; Metazoa; Chordata; Mammalia; Rodentia; Spalacidae
Description: U4 spliceosomal RNA (ENSNGAG00000002026.1)
Rfam family: U4 spliceosomal RNA
About the family: U4 small nuclear RNA (U4 snRNA) is a component of the major U2-dependent spliceosome. The structure of U4 snRNA from yeast and human has been reported.
Source: Rfam by way of RNAcentral